GCGGCCCGGGUCUCUUCCAAGGCCAUUCCAUUGGCUGUAGGGGCUUGCCAAGGGGCGGGGCACCCCCCCAACCUCUGCUGCCUUCCCCCCCCCUUGUGAUGUCAGGCCCUUGGUAUUGGGAGCUGAUUGUGUCAUUGUUUCCACCUAGGGGGGCAGCCUACGUUAUUCUGGGGGGGCUUGGUCAGACAGAGACCAGCCUUCUUCCACCCACCCCUCCCGCUGUCCAUUGGGCCUCUGGCUGGGUCUGAGUCUCUUUGUCUCUGAGGUCUCUUUAUCCCUCUGGAGUCUUGAGGCAGGACUGACACCCAUGAUAGUUUAGUGAGCACCACCCCGGGUUUAUCUCCAGAUACCAACAGUCUAUAGCCUUAGGUGGGGAAACUGAGGCAUGGGGCUUGGAAUCACUUUUCCAGUGUCACACAGCAGGCCAGGGGCUGAGGAGAAUUUGAGACCAUGCUCCAUGAACCUCAACUAUGAGGCUAAGGUGGGGUUUCUCAACCUCCACACUGUGGACAGCUGAGGCUGGAUAAUUCUUUAUGAUUGGGGGACUGUCCUGGGCAUUCAUUGUAAGACUUCAAGCAGCAUCCCUGGCCUCUACCUGCUAGAUGCCAGUAGCACUCUCUUGGUCCCAAUAAACAGAAAUGUUGAGGCACUGCG
Non-coding RNA from Macaca mulatta (Rhesus monkey), 654 nucleotides. The record is from RefSeq and is a predicted model, not a curated record. Lineage: Eukaryota; Metazoa; Chordata; Mammalia; Primates; Cercopithecidae.